UGAGGAAUAUUGGUCAAUGGGCGCAAGCCUGAACCAGCCAUGCCGCGUGAAGGAAGACGGCCCUAAGGGUUGUAAACUUCUUUUGUACUUGGGUAAUAGCCUUUACGUGUAGAGGUAUGAAAGUAAAGUACGAAUAAGGAUCGGCUAACUCCGUGCCAGCAGCCGCGGUAAUACGGAGGAUCCAAGCGUUAUCCGGAUUUAUUGGGUUUAAAGGGUGCGUAGGCGGGAAUAUAAGUCAGUGGUGAAAGUCUGGCAGCUUAACUGUAGAAUUGCCAUUGAUACUGUAUUUCUUGAGUAUAAUUGAGGUAGGCGGAAUGUGUAGUGUAGCGGUGAAAUGCUUAGAUAUUACACAGAACACCAAUUGCGUAGGCAGCUUACUAAGUUAUAACUGACGCUGAGGCACGAAAGCGUGGGGAUCAAACA
This 423-nucleotide ribosomal RNA is filed under the name uncultured bacterium. RNAcentral describes it as "bacterial SSU rRNA". It matches the Rfam family "Bacterial small subunit ribosomal RNA", at positions 355 to 774 of the family's 1533-position model. The record is from RNAcentral.